Molecule: long non-coding RNA, 1104 nt
Filed under: Salvator merianae (Argentine black and white tegu)
Lineage: Eukaryota; Metazoa; Chordata; Lepidosauria; Squamata; Teiidae
Description: lncRNA (ENSSMRG00000009090.1)
Source: RNAcentral
GGAGGAGCGCUUCCUGUCCUUGAGCAGCUGCUACUAUAGAGAUACAGACGCUGUCCUCCUGGUGUACAGCCUCCCGCGCCUGGUUUCCUUCGACAGUCUCUCCCAUUGGCUCUGCGUGGCCAGGCAGUACUGUGCGGAUGCUGAUGUUUUCAUUCUGGGUAACAAGAGUGACCUGGAGAGCUGUGUCCCCGAGGAGAAGGUGGAGAGGUUCACGGCCGAGCACGCCAUCGCUGGGAGGUACAAAGUGUCCGCAAAGACAGGCGAGAACGUGGAGCGAUGCCUGCAGGAGAUGCUGGAGCAUCUUUUCCUGCAGAAGGAGUUCCAGCGCAGUGGCCUCCACACACCCCUGCAAGAAGUUGGCUACUACAGCCACUGUGCUUGCUGAGAGGGGUGUGGGGCCCUUCCUUGAAGGAAAGGAGCCCCCACAAAACANAGAGCAAGCUUUUCCGUGGGCGGCCAAGGCCUUGCAGUCUUUCCGGGUGCCGUAUGUGCAAAGUGGAGAUGAGCAGCAUGAGGAAAGAUCCCAGCUGCCUGAAGGGCCCUGCAGUGCCCAGGUGCCCUUGGAGAUCCUGCUGGGACUUUCUUACUUCACUUUCUANCAAGUGCCAUUGUGCGGACAGCUGGGGGCCAUUUCUGGCAGGAUGCCAAAGGGUUAGAUAAUUCAUGGAGCACAGGUGUAUCAACUAGAGGGGAUGCCUAAGUACUUCCUCCAGCAUGCAGAAAGAUGUAGGAUGCCUUUGUCUUCGGCUUGGGGUGCCCAGAAGCAACUGUUGGGCCACUGUAUGAGGCAGGAUGCUGGGCUAGAUGGCCUGUGGCCUGAUCCAGCAGGGCUCCUCUUAAUUCAUGGAGGGUAGGUGCGUCAAUGGCUACUAGAAUGGAUGCCUAGGUACUGCCUCCAGGUUCAAGAGACAGAUAGGAUGCCUCUAAAGGCCGUUUGCAGGGAGACGAGAGCAGGUGAAGGUUUUGCCUUUGUCUUCCUCUCGAGAUGCCCAGAAGCCAGUGGUGGGCCACUGUGUGAAACAGGAUGCUGGACCAAAAGGCUGUGGCCUGAUCCAGCAGGGCUCCCCUUAUGUCCUUAUGAACACUAUCAGACCCCAAUUACGC